Molecule: non-coding RNA, 1486 nt
Organism: Lactuca sativa (garden lettuce)
Lineage: Eukaryota; Viridiplantae; Streptophyta; Magnoliopsida; Asterales; Asteraceae
Source: RefSeq, a predicted model, not a curated record
UUCCAGUCCAACUCCUAAUUUUCUUUCGUCGUUACGUCACUGUUUGCGCGGGUGGUUGAUUCUCACGUUCUGAUCUUGAGGUACGAAGCUGUAAAAAAUUCGAAGAAAUUAGGGUUAACAAGGGGAUCCAAGUUCUUUCGACUCGAAAGACGCACGUUUAUUAGAGUUAAAACUACGGAUUCGAAGCAUAAAUCUAGCAAGAAGGAAGAUUAUGUGAAGAAAGAGGAAGAGUUGAAGAGGGAGAGAGAAAGGAGUGUUGAUGAGAAGUAGAGAAAAGAGAGGGGGAGAGAGAGAGAGAGACGUAGAGAAGGUGAGGUGGUGGAAAUGAUGAUGUCGGAGAUAGAGAUAGAAAGAGGCGGAGAGGGAAGAUAGUGUAGAUAAUAGUGGGACAAAAAAGGCUGAUGAAAAUUCUUCAGAUGAGAAAGAAGUAAGAACCCAUGAAGUUGCAUGAGGAAAUGGAGGAGAGUUGAAGAAUGGCAGGAAAAAAGAAAAAGAAAAAGUAGGAAUCUGAGAGAGAAGAGAGCGAUGAACCCAAAUCAGGCAAGAGUUGGAGUUCAGAAGGAGAAUGUAGAGAAUGAAGAAGGUGAUGUAAUUGUUAAUGGAUCAUCAGAUACUGUGGCUCCUUUGCAGAAUGGUGGUGAGAAGAGGAAAUUGAUCCUUUAGAUGCUUUCAUGAAUUCCAUGGUGAUACCCGAAGUCAACAAGUUGAUCCCCAUACUGGUUUGGGUCAAAAGAAAGAUGGCGAGAUUCAGGAGAAUGGGAAGCAAUGAAAAAAGAUCAAAUGGGGAUCAUUCCUGGCGAAGAUUCAUCAUCCCAAUGUUGAAAAUGAUGAAGAUCCUUUGGAUGAUGAAUUCAUGAAACGUGUAAAGAAGACAAAAGGAUUACAUCCCAUUCAGGAAGAAUUUUUACAUUGAAGUGUAGUUUAAAUAAGCUAUGGCUUGAAGGAGGAUCCAGCUUGCUGUGAUGUGCAAAUGGUUAUUAGUGGGUUUUUUCUUUUUGUAAUAAAAUAUUAAAAUGUUGAUAUGGUUUUGUGUAACUGAUAAUACGGGCAUUCAUUUCUGAUUGUAGGUUGGUUGGGCCUUUGUUGCGAAGUUAGCCUAGGCUUUACCAAAACCUUCCUUCCUUCCUUCCUUUUUUAACCCAAACACCUUGAUUGCCUAUGUGAUUCGUUAUAUUCAAAGGGCAUUUGAUAGGUAAUAACUUCAUUAAAUCUCAUUAUCUGACAGUUGCGGGUUAUUAUUUAUAGAUUGAGGAUGAAGCUGCAGGAGCUCUUUUUUUUUAUUCAACACCCAUGCAUUCAUUCAGGAGUACAACCACUAAACUUAAAACUAAAGAUUAAAAGUUGCAUAUUACUUUUCAGCUCCAUUGGUUGGUUGGUUUGUUUUUCUUUUUGUUGGUUUGUAAUAUCUACUAACUAUUGAGUAUCUGUAAUAUUAACUGUUGUUAUAGUUGAUACUUUAUGGAAAGAAUCUUGAAAAAUUGGACAA